Non-coding RNA from Bemisia tabaci, 932 nucleotides. Lineage: Eukaryota; Metazoa; Arthropoda; Insecta; Hemiptera; Aleyrodidae. The record is from RefSeq and is a predicted model, not a curated record.
GGUCACAUUCAACAGUGCUUCAACGUAGUCUUUCACCACCCUUCCAGUAGUAAGGCCCGCGCUUUGUGUCAUACAAUAGACCUGUCAAUCAAACUUAACACAAAGGGAUACCGCCGUGGGUGGUCCCCCGUGGGUGGUCCCAGGGGGAUGUUUUGUUAAGGGACCUGUCAAUCAAACCUAAGUGGUUUGGACAGUGAACCGUAAGUACUGUGUUAAUGGAUCUAAAGGUCAUUGACCUCGCACUGUUUGUAUACUUCUGAAUUUAUUAUUUAUUUGGCACAAUGAUUAAUUUAAUUGGGCUGACCAACAAACCUAAGAUGUUGGGUACUGAACCGUAAGUACAGUGUUAAUGCAAGUGUACACACAGGACCUCACAUUGUAUGUGUACAAAACCCAUUGAAACGGGAUUCUUCGAUAGAUCAAUACUUAUCGAUUUUCGAAUAAUUGAAUCGAUUAUUUGACUCUUCAAAUACUCCAUACCGCAAAACAAGUGCAAUCUACCCAGGAUGUUUACUUUUUCUUGAAAAAUACACAUCCUCGUUAGAAUGCACAUGUUUUAAGCCGACGAAAACCCACAAUUGGGACCUAUCAAUCUUGAAAUAUAUUUAUUUAUUUGUGUUUUAUUUUUUAAUUGGCAGAUCGAUUAAUUUAAUAGGACCUGGCAAUCAAACCUAAGUGGUUUGGACAGUGAACCGUACCAUGGAAUACGAAAGAAGGAACAUUCAUUGCUUUACACGAAACUAAAUGAUGUCUGAGCAACAGGAGGCUGAAAAUGUUGCACCAAACGUUGGAUGUCCCUGCCCGCCACCCCGUGCGAUUAAAAGAAAGCCGAAGAUCACCAGAACAACGAAAAUAUUACAUUUGAAAAUAGAUGAAUUUGAUGUUGAAUUUGAAAAUAGACUUUCAAUAAAUUGUAAGUUUAAACCCUUAAA